Molecule: ribosomal RNA, 252 nt
Filed under: uncultured bacterium
Lineage: Bacteria
Description: partial 16S ribosomal RNA
Rfam family: Bacterial small subunit ribosomal RNA
Source: RNAcentral
UACGUAGGUCCCGAGCGUUGUCCGGAUUUAUUGGGCGUAAAGCGAGCGCAGGUGGUUUAUUAAGUCUGGUGUAAAAGGCAGUGGCUCAACCAUUGUAUGCAUUGGAAACUGGUAGACUUGAGUGCAGGAGAGGAGAGUGAAAUUCCAUGUGUAACGGUGAAAUGCGUAGAUAUAUGGAGGAACACCGGUGGCGAAGGCGGCCUGCUGGACCGCGACUGACGUUGAGGCUCGAAAGCGUGGGGAGCGAACAGG